This is a non-coding RNA of Erythranthe guttata (spotted monkey flower), 116 nucleotides long. The record is from RefSeq and is a predicted model, not a curated record. Lineage: Eukaryota; Viridiplantae; Streptophyta; Magnoliopsida; Lamiales; Phrymaceae.
GGGCUAGGAGGAAGGAGAAAAAGGCUAGACAGAGGGAACAAAAGAGGGAACAAAAAGCAGAAGCAGCCAAACUUCAGGUGCACAAAGUUUCGAAUGCACCAGAGUCCGGGAAGAAA